AACGAACGUUAGCGGCGCGCUUAACACAUGCAAGUCGUGCGAGAAAGGGAGCAAUCCCCGGUAAAGCGGCGCACGGGUGAGUAACACGUAGGUAACGUGCCCCUAGGUGGUGGAUAACCUUCCGAAAGGAGGGCUAAUACAGCAUAAGACUACGGCUUCGAAAGGAGCUGAGGUCAAAGUCGGCCUCUGUUCACAAGCUCGCGCUCGUGGGAUGGGUCUGCGUCCCAUCAGCUAGUUGGUGAGGUAAUGGCUCACCAAGGCAUCGACGGGUAGCUGGUCUGAGAGGAUGACCAGCCACACUGGAACUGAGACACGGUCCAGACUCCUACGGGAGGCAGCAGUGGGGAAUCUUGCGCAAUGGGCGAAAGCCUGACGCAGCGACGCCGCGUGGGUGAUGGAAGGCCGUUCGGGUUAGUAAACGCCCUGGUGGGGAGGAACGAACCGUACGGGGGCGAACACCCUCCGUACCUGACGGUACCUCCUUAGCAAGCAUCGGCUAACUCUGUG
Molecule: ribosomal RNA, 507 nt
Filed under: uncultured bacterium
Lineage: Bacteria
Description: bacterial SSU rRNA
Rfam family: Bacterial small subunit ribosomal RNA
Source: RNAcentral